Molecule: ribosomal RNA, 466 nt
Filed under: uncultured bacterium
Lineage: Bacteria
Description: partial 16S ribosomal RNA
Rfam family: Bacterial small subunit ribosomal RNA
Source: RNAcentral
GAUGAACGCUGGCGGCGUGCUUAACACAUGCGAGUCGAACGAUGAAGCCCAGCUUGCUGGGUGGAUUAGUGGCGAACGGGUGAGUAACACGUGAGUAACCUGCCCUUAACUCUGGGAUAAGCCUGGGAAACUGGGUCUAAUACCGGAUAGGAGCGUCCACCGCAUGGUGGGUGUUGGAAAGAUUUAUCGGUUUUGGAUGGACUCGCGGCCUAUCAGCUUGUUGGUGAGGUAAUGGCUCACCAAGGCGACGACGGGUAGCCGGCCUGAGAGGGUGACCGGCCACACUGGGACUGAGACACGGCCCAGACUCCUACGGGAGGCAGCAGUGGGGAAUAUUGCACAAUGGGCGAAAGCCUGAUGCAGCGACGCCGCGUGAGGGAUGACGGCCUUCGGGUUGUAAACCUCUUUCAGUAGGGAAGAAGCGAAAGUGACGGUACCUGCAGAAGAAGCACCGGCUAACUACGUG